Molecule: long non-coding RNA, 949 nt
Filed under: Mus spicilegus (steppe mouse)
Lineage: Eukaryota; Metazoa; Chordata; Mammalia; Rodentia; Muridae
Description: lncRNA (ENSMSIG00000026918.1)
Source: RNAcentral
AAGAAAUUUGACAAUUACCAUGGGAACACCCAGUUUAUGGUAUCUAUAGAGCUUUCCACUACUCACUGCUGCAGUUCAGGAUCUGAGAUCUUGCAUUUUUUUUCACAGAAAACAUCUGACUUGUAACUCUGAUUCACCUCUGUUUGACUGGACAGCAUGCUCUUGUGUCUUAGUGGCGUUCAAAAGGGAGUGGACACCAUAGGUUGACAGAACACUGAGUGUGGCCCCAGCAAAAACUGAUUAAAAAAAAAACCAACAGACAAAAGAUAGACAUAAAGGCUUUCCAUGGAAGCAACUGCAAUUGGCGUCUAGUCAUAAAGAAAUCGUCCAGUUUCAUCCAAAAUGAGAGAAAUGCAAAACUUUCUAAUCUAGUGGAAGAAAUGAUAUGCAUGUAUAAUUAACUUCAAAACGAUGGCAGUGUGUAAUCAAUCAUGGAUUCUUCAGAGAUAGCUGGGUGGUGAGUUAGAUCUGCUCACGCAGGCAGAGCAUGCGUAGUCGGAGCAUCUGUGGCUGGCACUGGAGACCUGGAGCACAUCCUCCUCUGGUUUGAUUGUUUUCUGCUUCAAAUACAGAAAUCGCAGAAGAGCUUGGUGAGUGUGUAACAAAGGGUCAUCAGAGUCAACUGAAUUUGUCUUAUUUUUGUUGUUUCUGCCUCUGAAAGGGGAGGUUGGCAGCAUUGUCCAUGGCCAGCGGCCAUUGGAAGGCUUCAUUACUAGGUCACCUGGCCAUCUGUCUCUGGAUUUUUUUUUUUAAAGUCUUGAAUUGACAAUAUAGCUGGGAUUGGCCUUAAACUCCUGGCAGUACUCAUGGUUCAAGGGCCUAAGUGCUGCGAUUAUAGGUGUGUGCUACCACAUUUGGGCCUCUGAAAUAUUUCAGAGUCAGGGAUAGAUGAGGUGUCUCUUCAAAUACAUACAUGUUUGGCUUUCCUCCUUGGGUUUCCUGGGAAAAC